This is a non-coding RNA of Podarcis lilfordi (Lilford's wall lizard), 490 nucleotides long. Lineage: Eukaryota; Metazoa; Chordata; Lepidosauria; Squamata; Lacertidae. The record is from the annotation of a GenBank genome assembly.
GAGAUGACUGGCAGAAUCCGUGACCAGGGAAAAGAGUCGGUGGAAGAAGAUUGGAAGAAAUUUAAAGACUAUCUACAGAAAUACUAUAAAAUUAAUGAAUGUUAAAUUGAGGUCUGAUUGAAAAUAACUGGUAUUGGCAAAAGCCUUGUGAUUAAGAGCAUGGAAUAUUUGAUCGAUAAAGUUGUAAUAUUUAUAUAUAAAUAGAUUAACUUUUUGAGUUAAGAUAAAGAAAGGAGGGUAAGGAUUUGCUGAAAGGAGUUCUUAAAUGGAAAUACAAGCGGGGAGAUGUGGGAAGUCAAAGAAUUAGGUAAUGAUAAGAAGGUUAAAUGAAAGUAUAAUACUUUUUAAAUUUUUCUGUUUCUUUUUCUUUUUUUCUCUUUUCUUUUUUUUGUUAUGGAUAUUGUUAUCUCUGUUUGCUUUUUGUUAUUGUUAUCGUUGUUUUCUGUUUGUCGAAUUUUUGUAUUUUUGCAUCUUUUGGAAUUUCUUUUGU